CAGAAGCUUCCAGUCGGAGGAAACAAGACCAGCUGAGGAUCCAGCGAGUUUCCUGUUCUGGUGCCUGAUGCUAUGGCUCUUCUGCUGUUAUGAAGAGUACCUCUGAAUGAGAGGACAUGUGGAACAGUGACUGGGCAAGGGAGACCUAUUCUGAAUGAAGACAGCAGCAUCUGACAGACUGACAGCCCAGAGGAAAAGGAGCUGGACCUGCAGGCUUCCGGAUUUUGCAGCUGUAUUAGUUAUUGUGAGAAAAUACUGUCAGAAGGAACUUAAGGGAGGAAGGACUUCACACAAGAAAUAGAGAACUGGAAACAAAGUAUAAAUUUUAAAAGAUUGUAUUUUUAAAGUUUUGCUUCAUUUGAGUCUUACCCAUUUCCCCCUUUUAUUUGACCUUCUAUUGAUCCAGAAAACAAAAGGGAAUGUCUUACUUUCUUUCUUCUUUUCCAAUAAAAAGACUUUCAUAUAUUCAGACUGGAUUUAGAACAAAAGGAAUCCUCAAUCUAGCUCUGAAUUGUUAAAACAUAAAGCUUGGAAAUGUUCUGA
Molecule: long non-coding RNA, 543 nt
Organism: Peromyscus leucopus (white-footed mouse)
Lineage: Eukaryota; Metazoa; Chordata; Mammalia; Rodentia; Cricetidae
Exons: 3
Source: RefSeq, a predicted model, not a curated record